UACGAAGGGGGCUAGCGUUAUUCGGAAUUACUGGGCGUAAAGCGCACGUAGGCGGAUCGAUCAGUCAGGGGUGAAAUCCCAGGGCUCAACCCUGGAACUGCCUUUGAUACUGUCGAUCUGGAGUAUGGAAGAGGUGAGUGGAAUUCCGAGUGUAGAGGUGAAAUUCGUAGAUAUUCGGAGGAACACCAGUGGCGAAGGCGGCUCACUGGUCCAUUACUGACGCUGAGGUGCGAAAGCGUGGGGAGCAAACAGG
This 253-nucleotide ribosomal RNA is filed under the name uncultured bacterium. RNAcentral's name for it is "partial 16S ribosomal RNA". It matches the Rfam family "Bacterial small subunit ribosomal RNA", at positions 524 to 776 of the family's 1533-position model. The record is from RNAcentral.